RNAcentral lists this transfer RNA (65 nucleotides) under Kalicephalus indicus. RNAcentral's name for it is "tRNA-Val". Lineage: Eukaryota; Metazoa; Nematoda; Chromadorea; Rhabditida; Diaphanocephalidae. The record is from RNAcentral.
UUUUUUUUAUUAAAUUAUUAGUUUAUUAAGAAUAUUUCACUUACAAUGAAAAGGAUAAUAAUUUU